Molecule: ribosomal RNA, 246 nt
Filed under: uncultured bacterium
Lineage: Bacteria
Description: partial 16S ribosomal RNA
Rfam family: Bacterial small subunit ribosomal RNA
Source: RNAcentral
CACGCCGUAAACGAUGAGUACUAGGUGUAGGGGGUAUCGACCCCCCCUGUGCCGCAGUAAACACAAUAAGUACUCCGCCUGGGAAGUACGAUCGCAAGAUUAAAACUCAAAGGAAUUGACGGGGACCCGCACAAGCAGCGGAGCAUGUGGUUUAAUUCGAAGCAACGCGAAGAACCUUACCUGGACUUGACAUCGUCUGAAUAUCUAAGAGAUUAGAGAAGCCCUUCGGGGCAGAUAGACAGGUGG